Tyto alba (common barn owl) is the source of this 671-nucleotide long non-coding RNA. RefSeq lists it as uncharacterized. NCBI's taxonomy places the organism in Eukaryota, Metazoa, Chordata, Aves, Strigiformes, Tytonidae. The transcript is spliced from 2 exons. The record is from RefSeq and is a predicted model, not a curated record.
CCCCAGCCCCCGCCGCUCCGCGCCUGCACGCCGAGCCCGGCCGGCUUCCCUGCGCCCCCACACAAAGUCCCAGCACUCGAUGAAAGAGGCUGGAGUCCCUGUCUUCACCCUUUCUCCACUGCCUCCCUGUUCUACCAGUCUGUUCUGUGUCCAGGCAACUGCAAAAAGAUAUUUCAAAGACUCCUGCCGUGCCAUGUAGAUGUUUUCUCUUGUUAGUUUGGACUGCAGGUGUGUAAGCCUCAAGGAUGAAGUAUCAUGGUGCUGUUUUAGGUUCGGGGCAUACAGUCAUAGUACAAUAAAUCACAUAGUAACGCUCCACUUUGAACGCGCACGCACAGAAAAAGGAAAAGAAAAAAGCAUCUGACCUGAAUCAUUUUCUGGAAACACAUCUGGUUAAAAUCCAAAGUUUUAAAUUGAGUAAUAUUUUAAAAUACAUUUGUUAGGUAUUAAAUUACAGUGUUAUAUCUGGUAAUAUUUAUGAUACUAAUGUGUUAAGCGGAGGUUUAUAUCUGUCAAGAAAUAUGAAUGAUUGUCAUAUGGGGUAACAAAUGUAUCCUGAUAUAAAUAAUAUUUUAUGGUAUUUUUAACAUUAUUGUAGUCUUUUCUGCAGGAGUUACGUCUUGUCACAUUAUUGCCAAUUUGAAAUAAAAGCUCUGUGGCUAGAUACCAAA